Danio rerio (zebrafish) is the source of this 271-nucleotide non-coding RNA. NCBI's taxonomy places the organism in Eukaryota, Metazoa, Chordata, Actinopteri, Cypriniformes, Danionidae. The record is from RefSeq and is a predicted model, not a curated record.
GACCUGUGCCCGCCUCACGCCCAGCCUGUUGAUCGGUGGACGGGUAAGCGCGCAUGGCAUCGGAAGGAGCUCGAAAAGUAUAAGGUGAUGACAAUGGAUAAUUGCGUGAAAAUCAAACUUAAAGAAUGCAAUCUUGAGGAGUUAAUCCCCACAUUUGAAGCACAGGAGCGAACCUUUCCUCGUUUUUAGGUCAAUUUGAAUACAAUUCAGAGGGGUGGCAUGGGGGUGCAGUGGGUAGUGCUGUCGCCUCACAGCAAGAUGGUCGCUGGUU